CCAUAUCGUCGACGUCGCAGUGCACGGGAAGCCGGUGGAAGUCCGGCGCGGUCCUCGCCACUGUGACCGGAGUGCGCCUCCCGCACGCCACUGGGCCGGACACGGCUUGGGAAGGGUGGGGGCGCGGGGCCAGAGCCCGACUCCGGGAGCCAGGAGACCGGCUGCGACCGUCCGCGUCAU
This 180-nucleotide non-coding RNA is filed under the name Nocardiopsis dassonvillei. Lineage: Bacteria; Bacillati; Actinomycetota; Actinomycetes; Streptosporangiales; Nocardiopsidaceae. The record is from RNAcentral. RNAcentral also lists the same sequence under 1 other name.